Molecule: ribosomal RNA, 269 nt
Filed under: uncultured prokaryote
Description: partial 16S ribosomal RNA
Rfam family: Bacterial small subunit ribosomal RNA
Source: RNAcentral
UACGUAGGUGGCAAGCGUUGUCUGGAAUUAUUGGGCGUAAAGCGCGCGCAGGCGGUCUCUUAAGUCUGAUGUGAAAGCCCCCGGCUUAACCGGGGAGGGUCAUUGGAAACUGGGAGACUUGAGUGCAGGAGAGGGAAGCGGAAUUCCAUGUGUAGCGGUGAAAUGCGUAGAGAUAUGGAGGAACACCAGUGGCGAAGGCGGCUUCCUAUCCUGUAACUGACGCUGAGGCGCGAAAGCGUAGGGAGCAAACAGGAUUAGAUACCCGUGUA